RNAcentral lists this ribosomal RNA (995 nucleotides) under uncultured bacterium. Its description in RNAcentral is "bacterial SSU rRNA". It matches the Rfam family "Bacterial small subunit ribosomal RNA", at positions 356 to 1376 of the family's 1533-position model. The record is from RNAcentral.
GGGGGAUAUUGCACAAUGGGGGAAACCCUGAUGCAGCGACGCCGCGUGGAGGAAGAAGGUUUUCGGAUUGUAAACUCCUGUCGUUAGGGACGAUAAUGACGGUACCUAACAAGAAAGCACCGGCUAACUACGUGCCAGCAGCCGCGGUAAAACGUAGGGUGCAAGCGUUGUCCGGAAUUACUGGGUGUAAAGGGAGCGCAGGCGGGAAGACAAGUUGGAAGUGAAAACCAUGGGCUCAACCCAUGAAUUGCUUUCAAAACUGUUUUUCUUGAGUAGUGCAGAGGUAGGCGGAAUUCCCGGUGUAGCGGUGGAAUGCGUAGAUAUCGGGAGGAACACCAGUGGCGAAGGCGGCCUACUGGGCACCAACUGACGCUGAGGCUCGAAAGUGUGGGUAGCAAACAGGAUUAGAUACCCUGGUAGUCCACACCGUAAACGAUGAUUACUAGGUGUUGGAGGAUUGACCCCUUCAGUGCCGCAGUUAACACAAUAAGUAAUCCACCUGGGGAGUACGACCGCAAGGUUGAAACUCAAAGGAAUUGACGGGGGCCCGCACAAGCAGUGGAGUAUGUGGUUUAAUUCGACGCAACGCGAAGAACCUUACCAAGUCUUGACAUCCCUUGACAGACAUAGAAAUAUGUAAUCUCUUCGGAGCAAGGAGACAGGUGGUGCAUGGUUGUCGUCAGCUCGUGUCGUGAGAUGUUGGGUUAAGUCCCGCAACGAGCGCAACCCUUAUGGUCAGUUACUACGCAAGAGGACUCUGGCCAGACUGCCGUUGACAAAACGGAGGAAGGUGGGGAUGACGUCAAAUCAUCAUGCCCUUUAUGACUUGGGCUACACACGUACUACAAUGGCGUUAAACAAAGAGAAGCAAGACCGCGAGGUGGAGCAAAACUCAGAAACAACGUCCCAGUUCGGACUGCAGGCUGCAACUCGCCUGCACGAAGUCGGAAUUGCUAGUAAUCGCGGAUCAGCAUGCCACGGUGAAUACGUUCCCG